GUUUCUGUAGUGUAGUGGUUAUCACAUUUGCUUUACAUGCAAAAGGUCUCUGGAAAGGUCUCAGAAAGAAACA
RNAcentral lists this transfer RNA (73 nucleotides) under Poecilia formosa (Amazon molly). It matches the Rfam family "tRNA". Rfam says of the family: Transfer RNA (tRNA) molecules are approximately 80 nucleotides in length. Lineage: Eukaryota; Metazoa; Chordata; Actinopteri; Cyprinodontiformes; Poeciliidae. The record is from Rfam by way of RNAcentral.